CGGGAAAAGCUCAAAUUUAAAAUCUGGCAGUCUUUGGCUGUCCGAGUUGUAAUUUAGAGAAGCGUUAUCCGCGCUGGACCGUGUAUAAGUCUCCUGGAAUGGAGCGUCAUAGAGGGUGAGAAUCCCGUCUUUAACACGGACUACCAGGGCUUUGUGAUGCGCUCUCGAA
This 169-nucleotide ribosomal RNA is filed under the name Richoniella sp. RNAcentral describes it as "partial large subunit ribosomal RNA". It matches the Rfam family "Eukaryotic large subunit ribosomal RNA", at positions 99 to 261 of the family's 3401-position model. Lineage: Eukaryota; Fungi; Basidiomycota; Agaricomycetes; Agaricales; Entolomataceae. The record is from RNAcentral.